CGCUUUUUUCGCAUCGGAACUCGACCCGACCCGGCGACGGUCAUGACGCUCGUGAACGAGCUGCGUGGCCGCUUCGGGGUCGAGCCCGUCCUCCGGGUCCUCAAGAUCGCCCCG
Micromonospora rosaria is the source of this 114-nucleotide regulatory RNA element. It matches the Rfam family "ALIL pseudoknot". Lineage: Bacteria; Bacillati; Actinomycetota; Actinomycetes; Micromonosporales; Micromonosporaceae. The record is from Rfam.